GACGAACGCUGGCGGCGUGCCUAACACAUGCAAGUCGAGCGGGGAUUUAAGUGGAAGUUCUUCGGAAUGCAGAUUUAAAUUCUAGCGGCGGACGGGUGAGUAACGCGUGAACAAUCUGUCCCGGACAGGGGGAUAACACUUGGAAACAGGUGCUAAUACCGCAUAAGACCACGGCCUCGCAUGGGGCUGAGGUAAAAGGAGCAAUCCGGUUCGGGGUGAGUUCGCGUCCGAUUAGCUAGUUGGUGAGGUAACGGCCCACCAAGGCGACGAUCGGUAGCCGGCCUGAGAGGGUGAACGGCCACAUUGGAACUGAGAGACGGUCCAAACUCCUACGGGAGGCAGCAGUGGGGAAUAUUGGGCAAUGGGCGAAAGCCUGACCCAGCAACGCCGCGUGAGGGAAGAAGGUUUUCGGAUUGUAAACCUCUGUCCUAUGGGACGAAGGAAGUGACGGUACCAUAGGAGGAAGCCCCGGCUAACUACGUG
This 483-nucleotide ribosomal RNA is filed under the name uncultured bacterium. RNAcentral's name for it is "partial 16S ribosomal RNA". It matches the Rfam family "Bacterial small subunit ribosomal RNA", at positions 28 to 507 of the family's 1533-position model. The record is from RNAcentral.